GGGUGUGGAAGUGCAGUAAUGCAUUAAGCUAACCAGUACUAAUUGCCCGUACGGCUUGUCCCUAUAACCUUAGCAGGUU
This 79-nucleotide ribosomal RNA is filed under the name Rugamonas fusca. RNAcentral's name for it is "partial 23S ribosomal RNA". The record is from RNAcentral. Lineage: Bacteria; Pseudomonadati; Pseudomonadota; Betaproteobacteria; Burkholderiales; Oxalobacteraceae.